CGUGUAGGCGGCCAGGUAGGUCCGUUGUGAAAACUCGAGGCUCAACCUCGAGACGUCGAUGGAAACCAUCUGGCUAGAGUCCGGAAGAGGAGAGUGGAAUUCCUGGUGUAGCGGUGAAAUGCGCAGAUAUCAGGAAGAACGCCCGUGGCGAAGGCGGCUCUCUGGGACGGUACUGACGCUGAGACGCGAAAGCGUGGGGAGCGAACA
Molecule: ribosomal RNA, 207 nt
Filed under: uncultured bacterium
Lineage: Bacteria
Description: partial 16S ribosomal RNA
Rfam family: Bacterial small subunit ribosomal RNA
Source: RNAcentral